CGUGUAGGCGGCUCGGUAAGUCUGCUGUGAAAGUCCAGGGCUCAACCCUGGAAUGCCGGUGGAUACUGUCGAGCUCGAGUCCGGAAGAGGCGAGUGGAAUUCCUGGUGUAGCGGUGAAAUGCGCAGAUAUCAGGAGGAACACCAAUGGCGAAGGCAGCUCGCUGGGACGGUACUGACGCUGAGACGCGAAAGCGUGGGGAGCAAACAGGAUUAGAUACCCUGGUAGUCCACGCCGUAAACGAUGGGUACUAGGUGUAGGGGGUGUCGACUCCCCCUGUGCCGACGCUAACGCAUUAAGUACCCCGCCUGGGGAGUACGGCCGCAAGGCUAAA
RNAcentral lists this ribosomal RNA (332 nucleotides) under uncultured Conexibacter sp. Its description in RNAcentral is "bacterial SSU rRNA". It matches the Rfam family "Bacterial small subunit ribosomal RNA", at positions 568 to 898 of the family's 1533-position model. The record is from RNAcentral. Lineage: Bacteria; Bacillati; Actinomycetota; Thermoleophilia; Solirubrobacterales; Conexibacteraceae.